Molecule: RNA transcript, 2494 nt
Organism: Solanum tuberosum (potato)
Lineage: Eukaryota; Viridiplantae; Streptophyta; Magnoliopsida; Solanales; Solanaceae
Gene name: F-box/LRR-repeat protein At1g67190-like
Exons: 3
Source: RefSeq, a predicted model, not a curated record
CCAAGCCCCCCAACCCACAAUGCCGUCUUGACCCUUUUUUCACAGAAAAUCGAAUCAGAUUCCUUCUGUUGUCCCUCUCUGUUCACUGUUUUUUCUUGUUUUUUGGUUUGAUCGAUUGAUGUCUUUGUUGUGGGACAUGAUCAUAAUCCUAUGAUUUAUGUGGAACCAGAUUCUUGAUUUGGGGUUUGUGGAUUGGAAGUUGAUGAGUUAAAGAUGGGAUUUUUGGCUUCUCAAAUAUUGCCCCAAAGGUCAAAACUUUAACUUGGUAUGCUCUUAUAUUAUUUCAGAAACCAGAUUCUUGAUUUGGGUUUUUAGCUGACUAAUAGUGGGAAUCAAGAAAUUGUCUCUGGUAGAGUUAUCAUUUGGUAGUUUAGUUAAAAGGGCCUCUGGAUAUUCCAUUUUUGGUUGAUAAUCUGGGGUUUGAUUAGCUUAUGAAUGAAUAUCUUUCACCACAUGUUUGCCUUUUCCUUGAUAAGAAUCCCUUAUAUUGUGAUGUAGUUUGGAGAUUUAAGUGGAUCAAUUGUAUUGCUUGGACUAUAACAUUGUUUUCUAGGGGCCUGCUAGUUGCAUUUGUUGUUGUAGUUGAGGGUAUGGAGUACCUUCCUGUUGAGGUGAUUGGGAACAUUUUGUCCCGUGUUGGAGCUGCGCGAGAUGUUGUGAUAGCAUCUUCUACUUGUCAGAAGUGGCGAGAGGCUUGGAGGAAUCAUCUUCAUACACUCAUGUUUAACUCGAAUGACUGGCCUGUUUAUCAUGAGCUCACAAGGAGCAGACUUGAGAUAAUUGUAACUCAGACGAUUUUCCAGACUAAUGGACUGCAUUGCCUUUCGAUCAUCAUGGAUGAUGUCGACGAGUUCUCUGCUGCUCCGGUAAUAGCUUGGCUAAUGUAUACCAGAGAAACGUUACGACAGUUACAUUACAAUGUCAGGACUACCCCAAACAUUAAUAUACUCGAAAAAUGUGGUCGCCAGAGACUAGAAGUGUUGGCUCUUGCACACAAUACAAUCACAGGUGUUGAACCUAGUUACCAAAAGUUUCCUUGUUUGAGGUCUCUUUCACUAAGUUAUGUUAGUAUAUCGGCUUUAGACCUGAGUCUUUUCCUCACAGCCUGCCCAAAAGUUGAGGUCUUGAGUCUUGUUAGUAUAGACAUUGUUAUGUCUGAUCCACAGGCAACGAUGGAGCUGACAAGUAACUCGUUGAAAGAUAUCUAUGUUGAAGCCAUUAGUUUGGAUAAAAUCAUUCUGGAAGCGGAUAGUCUUGAGAAGCUGCAUCUGAAAGAUUGUACACUUGAGGUCUUUGAGCUUGUUAGCAAGGGUUCAUUGAGUCACCUUAAGAUUGAUGAUGUUAGUGUCAUCCAUCUUGAUAUUGGCGAGAGUGCUGAAGAUCUCGAGAUUGUGGAUGUCAGUAAUUUCACAAUCAUGUGGUCCAAGUUCCAUCACAUGAUAGCAAAAUCAUCGAAGCUGAAAAGACUGAGGCUAUGGGGAGUUGUGUUUGACGAUGAGGAUGAGGCUGUGGAUAUUGAGACGAUUUCCGCUUGCUUUCCACAAUUAAGUCAUCUAUCAUUGAGCUAUGAACUAAGAGAGACAGCACUUCAUUAUGGAUCGCAAGAUUCUUUUCAAUUGGAAAAUGUAGUCGUCUUGGAGCUUGGAUGGAUGGUCAUUGGCGACCUGUUCUCCCAUUGGGUUGCAGGACUACUGGAAAGGUGCCCUAACCUGAGGAAGUUGGUAAUCUACGGAGUCGUCUCAGAAACCAAAACACACGAAGAAUGCCAUACAUUAGCCAACUUCACAUCCUUUAUUGUAAGGCUUAUGAGGAAGUAUUUGCAUGUAGAUGUUCAGUUCGAAUAUGAGUAGAUUUUGAACAACUGCUGAGUUCAAAAAUUUUCCUCAUCUCGAGAGGGGAAGGAGGACGACACAUAAGACUCCUGUUAGGAUGUUGCUGUACUGAUUGUUAUUUCAAGAAGGAGAAACUCUGGAUUAAAAGAACAUGAAUCAUCGGUUUGUUGUAAGUCCCCUUACCAAAUUCUUUGUUGCUCACAUUAUGUCUAUCUUUAAUGAAAGUUUUAAAUCUCUAUUCUUUUUCUUCCGUUAUCAGCAAUUUAUGUGGCUCUUAGUCUUCUUCAUUGUUUGAUAUUAGCAUGAGAUGAGUUUGAAUGGCGUAGCAUGGUCAGUGAUGAUUCAUAUAUAUAGCUGACCCCAAUUUGUUUGAGACUGAGGCGUACUGUUGAUGUUAUUAGUCUUCUUCACCAAUACAAUGUGCUUCUCUAUGACCCCCAUCUUCUGUCGAGUCUUAUGGGUAGUAAAUGGUUCUGCAUUCCUAGUGAAACACAUCGCAAGUGGAUAUGGAGUAUUCCGCAAGUUGGAUGGACUAAAGGCAGAUCCAGAAUUUUAAAUUUAUGGGUUUUGGCCAUAGCCCUUUUUGCUUAUUGAGUUCUUAAUAGAUCAUUUAUACAUUACACGAUUACAAUGAUCGUAUUAUUUGUUGUUGCUAAUGUUCU